GACGAACGCUGGCGGCGUGCUUAACACAUGCAAGUCGAACGGAAAGGCCCUGCUUUUGUGGGGUGCUCGAGUGGCGAACGGGUGAGUAACACGUGAGUAACCUGCCCUUGACUUUGGGAUAACUUCAGGAAACUGGGGCUAAUACCGGAUAGGAGCUCCUGCUGCAUGGUGGGGGUUGGAAAGUUUCGGCGGUUGGGGAUGGACUCGCGGCUUAUCAGCUUGUUGGUGGGGUAGUGGCUUACCAAGGCUUUGACGGGUAGCCGGCCUGAGAGGGUGACCGGGAGGAGUGGGAGUAGAAGACGGCGAGGGCGCAUACGGGAGGCAGCAAGGGGGAGUGUGGGACGAGGGGCGGAGGGUUGAUACAGGGACGCUGCGGGGGGGAUGAGGGAGGGAGGGUGGUAGAAGGGGAACGACUGGGACACAGGGUGAGUGACGGGGAUGGGUAAAGAAGCACAGACUAAAGACAUG
This 468-nucleotide ribosomal RNA is filed under the name uncultured bacterium. Its description in RNAcentral is "partial 16S ribosomal RNA". The stretch from base 12 to 374 matches the Rfam family "Bacterial small subunit ribosomal RNA", at positions 39 to 400 of the family's 1533-position model. The record is from RNAcentral.